Aphis gossypii (cotton aphid) is the source of this 981-nucleotide long non-coding RNA. RefSeq lists it as uncharacterized. Lineage: Eukaryota; Metazoa; Arthropoda; Insecta; Hemiptera; Aphididae. The transcript has 4 exons. The record is from RefSeq and is a predicted model, not a curated record.
CGGUAACCAUUAGCAACGAAAUUAAACAUAAAACCAUAAAUCGAUAUGUUUUCUAAAAUAAUUUUACAAUACACAUGUAUUUUAUGAUGAUAAAAUAUGAGUUUCCUGUGUAUGAAAUUACAGCCACACCAUAAAGGUUAAAAGGUACAAUUUCAGUGUCCUUUACAGGAGGACACCCUCUGAAAAUAUGAAACAGGUUUUAUAAGAUGCCGUAUUUUAACACAGCAACAGCUGAAAUAUUUUUGUUGUUAAACGGAAAUAUUCUACCGUAGGUAAUGAAUUAUCUGAAUAUUUCGUUCAAUAUUAUAUUAUUAUCAAUGUGCGAUCGGUUGUCACGGUAAAGCGCAAACGUGAAUGAAUUAAACAUGAAAUUAAAAUUCGUUAUCACGCACGUGCACCUGGGAAUUAGUUGGCACAUUGUUGGAUCGGAUUGAUUAUAAUAUAGGUAAUAUCAAUACAAAUUCAAUAUUCAUUGUUAAGACAGGACAAUGUUAUCAACAUCUGUUGGGUCAGCUAGUAAAUUAUAAAAAAAAUCAAGAUUCAUAAGCAUUUCAGCAUUCUAUUUUUAUUUUACAAUAUUAUCUUAAUUAAAAAAAGAAAAACAAAAUUUAAUGCUUACAUGCGCCUUAACAUAGGUAUGCGUGUAUAGAAGUAGCAACUCAUUCGACACUAACGUGCUGCACUGUUGUGUAUGACUAUUUUAUCAAGGGGAACAACAGAAUUCUUAGAUACAUAAAUAACUAGUUAGCAAUUAACAUUUAUAACGUUGUGCGUUUUAUUUGUUCAAGAAGAUGAAGUAUUAGUAUGGGCACAUUAUGUAUUGGUAUGUUCGAUGUCCUCUUAUGUUAUCUACGUACAUUUUUACGAAAAGAAUAAUAGUGGUUGGCAAUCGGCAUAACGCAUUGGUAUUAGAAUAUUAUAUUAUAUAACUUUAUUUUAUUUUUAAAAAUUGGUAAUAAAAUCGAAUUUGACUAUAAAAAU